AUAGUAUGGUGAGAUUGCAUGAUAGCACCAUUAAAGAUUUAUUGGUAAACGAUGGGGAUGCGUUCCAUUAGGUAGUAGGCGGGGUAACGGCCCACCUAGCCGACGAUGGAUAGGGGUUCUGAGAGGAAGGUCCCCCACAUUGGAACUGAGACGCGGUCCAAACUCCUACGGGAGGCAGCAGUGAGGAAUAUUGGUCAAUGGGCGAGAGCCUGAACCAGCCAAGUAGCGUGAAGGAUGAAGGUCCUACGGAUUGUAAACUUCUUUUAUACGGGAAUAAAGUAUCCUACGUGUAGGAUUUUGUAUGUACCGUAUGAAUAAGCAUCGGCUAACUCCGUGCCAGCAGCCGCGGUAAUACGGAGGAUGCGAGCGUUAUCCGGGUUUAUUGGGUUUAAAGGGAGCGCAGACGGGAGAUUAAGUCAGUUGUGAAAGUUUGCGGCUCAACCGUAAAAUUGCAGUUGAUACUGGUUUCCUUGAGUGCAGUUGAGGCAGGCGGAAUUCGUGGUGUAGCGGUGAAAUGCUUAGAUAUCACGAAAAACCCCGAUUGCGAAGGCAGCUUGCUAAACUGUAACUGACGUUCAUGCUCGAAAGUGUGGGUAUCAAACAGGAUUAGAUACCCUGCUAGUC
RNAcentral lists this ribosomal RNA (624 nucleotides) under uncultured bacterium. RNAcentral's name for it is "bacterial SSU rRNA". It matches the Rfam family "Bacterial small subunit ribosomal RNA", at positions 173 to 795 of the family's 1533-position model. The record is from RNAcentral.